UGGGGAAUAUUGCACAAUGGGCGGAAGCCUGAUGCAGCGACGCCGCGUGGGGGAUGAAGGCCUUCGGGUUGUAAACUCCUUUCGACAGGGACGAAGCUUUUGUGACGGUACCUGUAUAAGAAGCACCGGCUAACUACGUGCCAGCAGCCGCGGUAAUACGUAGGGUGCGAGCGUUGUCCGGAAUUACUGGGCGUAAAGAGCUCGUAGGUGGUUUGUCGCGUCGUCUGUGAAAUUCCGGGGCUUAACUCCGGGCGGGCAGGCGAUACGGGCUGACUUGAGUGCUGUAGGGGAGACUGGAAUUCCUGGUGUAGCGGUGAAAUGCGCAGAUAUCAGGAGGAACACCGAUGGCGAAGGCAGGUCUCUGGGCAGUAACUGACGCUGAGGAGCGAAAGCAUGGGUAGCGAACAGG
Molecule: ribosomal RNA, 409 nt
Filed under: Actinomycetes bacterium
Lineage: Bacteria; Bacillati; Actinomycetota; Actinomycetes
Description: Actinobacteria bacterium partial 16S ribosomal RNA
Rfam family: Bacterial small subunit ribosomal RNA
Source: RNAcentral